Molecule: long non-coding RNA, 1699 nt
Filed under: Vitis vinifera (wine grape)
Lineage: Eukaryota; Viridiplantae; Streptophyta; Magnoliopsida; Vitales; Vitaceae
Description: long non-coding RNA (VVIN_LNC003565)
Source: RNAcentral
UACCUGGAAAACCCCAAAUGCAGAAAGUUCUGGAAAUAUUAGGCCAUAAAAUAAAAACUUGGGUAUAUAAAGAUGCACUAAUCAAAGAGUGAGAAUCCCAUAUCGUCAUCACUCUCUUCCUUCUCUUCCUUUUUCUCCUCAGCUGGAGGUGCAUCAGCUGCCGGUGCCCCUCCCCCAGAAGGUGCUGCUGCAGCAGCUCCACCACCACCAAAGAAGCCGCCGCCUCCACCGCCACCAACAAUCACCUGCAUCACAUAAAUUCAUACAUCAUAUAUAAUACAAAACCCAAGCCUACACUCUUAGCUUCAAUAACAUGCAAACAUCUUCUGCUGAAACAAAAUCAAGCAGAACAAAACCCUAAUCACAGAAGGUCCAAUACAUGGGUCCAGACCACUCCAGUGGCCCACAGCAUCUUCUGCAUCAUAUUAACGUUCAAUAACAAUACAACAUCGAAUUGGAAUUAAAAUAGCCCAACCACCAAUCAGAUUAUUACAAACUUGUUAAUCAACUACACAGAGUGUGCUUUCCAGGUUAAAAGCAAGAACUAAAAAUAAUACCCACAUGAGAUUUGCAUCACAAAUAUGAUUUUCCUGCUCCAACCCAUUUAAAUCCUCACUCACGAAAACAACAAACAUCCAUUUUAUGAAAUCUGAAUACACCAAGCAAUCCACCAACCCCAAUUGGAUUAAUGGUUGAGUCACCAGAAUAAAGGAUGGAAGCAUAUAUUUACUGAUCUAAACUAUUUUUUGGCACUCUUAUUGACCAUGUUGGUAACAAUUGUCCAAUGCCAUGCAGCUACCAAAUUGAAAGCAGAACAGAAUGAAUAUUGGGAAACAUGACAUCAAAAGCUUUUAUUUAGGAAAUAAAAAAAAAACAAUUUUAGAAAAGAUUAGUAUGUUGUUUUAGAAAAUGUUCCCAGUUUAUUUCCAAAAACGAGCAUUUCUAAAUAGUAUUUUCAUUCACAAAGAACCACAUAGGGACCAUACAAUCUACCAAUAUCUUUUGAUAUUAGGGGCAAUGGUAACCAGGACUAUUGCUCAGGAAUCUGCCAUUUCUUUUGAUAUGGCAGGAAAUGAUAACAAGGAUUGUUGCCCAGGUAUUUGCAAAAGACCCAGCUUAACAUGCAAUGUUGUUAUAUUAUUCUGAAACGGAAUAAACCGCUAUGCAUAAUAAACAAUUAAUCAAUAUACUACAGCCAUAUCUUCAUAUAGAAUUGAGAGAACAGAGGAGCGACCAUCCAUCAAUCCGAAUACUUCAAUCAUAAACUCACAACUUAUAUAGCUAUUAAAAAUAGAACUUAUUAAAAAAGGCAAAACAAAAAAUACCUAAUACCUUCCAUUUGAUGAGAAAUCCAACAAAUCUCAAAUGCUUUGCAAGUUUGAAAACUCAAAAUUUUCUGGGCAAUCAAACAGAGUUACAGAAGAAUAGAAGUACCUGGAUAACGGCAGAGGAAGGAGUGACGUAGGAGAAAGAUGACUGAACUCCGCCGGAGGAGUCGGCGGAGAGAGCAGACUGAACGCACCUCCUCUGCAGAUCGUAAGUGGAGGCCGCGGACUCUUCAAGAUCGCCGUUCAUCUGCUUCGCGGUCCACUCCUUGCCGGAGCUCCGGCACACGAAUGUGAAGACUCCCAUUUUUCUUUCUCCAAACCCCUAACUCUAACCCUAAUUCACAGCCCAAAGAGAUGAGAGGUCGGCUUCU